AUGGGCUUUGUUGCUGCUCUGGAGGAACAGCUUGUCAGGUCAGCUUUGCAGAGAGGCAUAUUCCCAAACCAGUCAUCAUUAACGGACUCACUUCCACAAGCAAAGAAAAAAAAAAAAGACAGAGUCUGAAAACUCCGGACAAAAGAAAUCCCUGCAGACAAAGUAAAAACAAAUUAAAAGACCCAUUAUAAAACACAGAUGCUACAAGGAAAAUAAACUUUCCAAGAUUUACUGGGCUUUGACAAACUUGGACAUUUGUGGAAAAGACAUCAGCAGCAACUCCCAGGUUUCUAGUAGCACAAGCUACAGGUUGUUGUUAAUGGGGGACAAAGAAGAUUCUUCAAGAACCGAAGGUGUGAGAAUCUAAGAACUACAAUGGAAUAAAGUGGACUAAAUGGACCAUUUGGAAGAUAAAGACAGGACGCGUUCAGCGCUACCAAGACCUGUCUGUAUGGUAUGACUUCCUGACCAGGCCCCGGGGCUAUGCGGAGGCGACAAACAACCCAACCGACAUCCGACAUCCCAGGCCAGGCCACCCAGCGCCUGAGCAUCCUGUUGUGCGACA
Long non-coding RNA from Lemur catta (Ring-tailed lemur), 565 nucleotides. RefSeq lists it as uncharacterized. NCBI's taxonomy places the organism in Eukaryota, Metazoa, Chordata, Mammalia, Primates, Lemuridae. The transcript has 3 exons. The record is from RefSeq and is a predicted model, not a curated record.